AGUGAACGCUGGCGGUAGGCCUAACACAUGCAAGUCGAACGGCAGCACAGUAAGAGCUUGCUCUUACGGGUGGCGGGUGGCGGACGGGUGAGGAAUACAUCGGAAUCUACUUUUUCGUGGGGGAUAACGUAGGGAAACUUACGCUAAUACCGCAGCCGACCUACGGGUGAAAGCAUGGGAUCUUCUGAGCUUGCGCGAUUGGAUGCGCCGAUGUCGGAUUAGCUGGUUGGCGGGGUGAUGGCCCACCAUGGCGACGAUCCGUAGCUGGUCUGAGAGGAGGGUCAGCCACACUGGAGCUGAGACACGGUCCAGGGUACUGCGGGAGGCAGCAGUGGGGAAUAGUGGGCAAUGGGGGCAAGCCUGAUCCAGCGAGACCGAGUCGGUGGAGAAGGCCUUCGGGUUGUAAAGCCCUUUUGUUGGGAAAGAAAAGCAGCAGGUUAAGACCCCGCUGUUGUGACGGUAACCAAAGAAUAAGCACCGGCUAACUUCGUG
RNAcentral lists this ribosomal RNA (492 nucleotides) under uncultured bacterium. Its description in RNAcentral is "partial 16S ribosomal RNA". It matches the Rfam family "Bacterial small subunit ribosomal RNA", at positions 30 to 507 of the family's 1533-position model. The record is from RNAcentral.